GAAUAUGUCAUAUCUUGGCCCGCCGAUGGACCUGAUUACAUUACUCAAGGAUCUGGUGCUGCAUGGGUCUUGCUGAUUAAUUCCAAGACACUCAACAGACAGGUUCAGCCUUCUGGAUCUAAACUAAAUGAAUGUGAGGUAUUGGAAAAUCGGAACAGUGGGAAAUCAAGGCAGCUCAGACUUAAUCCAGGCCAAUGAACUUGGAUGAAUACUACAAUGGACUUGCUGUUUCAAAAACAAGAUAUUCCACUUUAAGUCUGCAUGGUGGAAAGGGUACAAGAAGGACAGGUGAAUAAGAUGCCAACAGAGACUUCAGAUAAAUCAGGACCCUCUUCCUAAGAAUGACCAGAAUGUACCUAAACGCUACUUGAC
Molecule: long non-coding RNA, 372 nt
Organism: Hypanus sabinus (Atlantic stingray)
Lineage: Eukaryota; Metazoa; Chordata; Chondrichthyes; Myliobatiformes; Dasyatidae
Exons: 3
Source: RefSeq, a predicted model, not a curated record